AAACUUAAAGGAAUUGACGGGGACCCGCACAAGCGGUGGAUGAUGUGGAUUAAUUCGAUGCAACGCGAAAACCUUACCUACCCUUGACAUGUCAGGAAUCCUGCUGAGAGGUGGGAGUGCUCGAAAGAGAACCUGAACACAGGUGCUGCAUGGCUGUCGUCAGCUCGUGUCGUGAGAUGUUGGGUUAAGUCCCGCAACGAGCGCAACCCUUGUCAUUAGUUGCCAUCAUUCAGUUGGGCACUCUAAUGAGACUGCCGGUGACAAACCGGAGGAAGGUGGGGAUGACGUCAAGUCCUCAUGGCCCUUAUGGGUAGGGCUUCACACGUCAUACAAUGGUCGGUACAGAGGGUUGCCAAGCCGCGAGGUGGAGCCAAUCCCAGAAAGCCGAUCGUAGUCCGGAUCGGAGUCUGCAACUCGACUCCGUGAAGUCGGAAUCGCUAGUAAUCGUGGAUCAGCAUGCCACGGUGAAUACGUUCCCGGGUCUUGUACACACCGCCCGUCACACCAUGGGAGUGGGUUUCACCAGAAGUAGGUAGCCUAACCGCAAGGAGGGCGCUUACCACGGUGGGAUUCAUGACUGGGGUGAAGUCGUAACAAGGUAGCCGUAGGGGAACCUGCGGCUGGAUCACCUCCUUUCUG
RNAcentral lists this ribosomal RNA (639 nucleotides) under uncultured Rhodocyclaceae bacterium. Its description in RNAcentral is "bacterial SSU rRNA". It matches the Rfam family "Bacterial small subunit ribosomal RNA", at positions 897 to 1533 of the family's 1533-position model. The record is from RNAcentral. Lineage: Bacteria; Pseudomonadati; Pseudomonadota; Betaproteobacteria; Rhodocyclales; Rhodocyclaceae.